This 209-nucleotide long non-coding RNA is filed under the name Capsicum annuum. RNAcentral's name for it is "long non-coding RNA (CANN_LNC011976)". Lineage: Eukaryota; Viridiplantae; Streptophyta; Magnoliopsida; Solanales; Solanaceae. The record is from RNAcentral.
UUUUGAUUUUGAAUUUCAUAGGAAAAUGAAACUUGAAACUAUUAAAGAAAAAUCUUUUUGUAGUUUUCUUUUAGAGAUGUAUAUGAAACACCUACUCUAAGUGAAGAGUGAAGAAAAUCUUUUUGAAUUUUUCAGAUUUCUGUACAAAAUGAAAUCUAUGAUUACCAAAAAAAUAUUUUUGGAUUUUUGAUUUUGAAUUUCAUGCGAAA